AGUGGCGCACGGGUGAGUAACGCGUGGGUAAUCUACCCUUGGAUUUGGGAUAACUCUGCGAAAGUGGAGCUAAUACCGGAUAGUCUGGCUUUAAAUAAGAAGUCGGUAAAGGAUGCCUCUGCAUAUGCAUUCGUCCGAGGAUGAGCCCGCGUCUCAUUAGCUAGUUGGUAGGGUAAUGGCCUACCAAGGCAACGAUGAGUAGCUGGUCUGAGAGGAUGAUCAGCCACACUGGAACUGAAACACGGUCCAGACUCCUACGGGAGGCAGCAGUGGGGAAUAUUGCGCAAUGGGCGAAAGCCUGACGCAGCAACGCCGUGUGAGGGAUGAAGGCUUUCGGGUCGUAAACCUCUGUCGGAAGGGAAGAACGGGCAUUGGUCUAAUAGGCCUUUGUUUUGACGGUACCUUUAGAGGAAGCACCGGCUAACUCCGUGCCAGCAGCCGCGGUAAUACGGAGGGUGCAAGCGUUAUUCGGAAUUACUGGGCGUAAAGCGCACGUAGGCGGCCUUGUAAGUCAGGGGUGAAAUCCCACGGCUCAACCGUGGAACUGCCUUUGAAACUGCAGGGCUUGAAUCCUGGAGAGGGUGGCGGAAUUCCUGGUGUAGGAGUGAAAUCCGUAGAUAUCAGGAGGAACACCGGUGGCGAAGGCGGCCACCUGGACAGGUAUUGACGCUGAGGUGCGAAAGUGUGGGG
This 690-nucleotide ribosomal RNA is filed under the name Desulfomicrobium sp. PR8_H02. RNAcentral's name for it is "bacterial SSU rRNA". It matches the Rfam family "Bacterial small subunit ribosomal RNA", at positions 94 to 766 of the family's 1533-position model. The record is from RNAcentral. Lineage: Bacteria; Pseudomonadati; Thermodesulfobacteriota; Desulfovibrionia; Desulfovibrionales; Desulfomicrobiaceae.